This 1429-nucleotide ribosomal RNA is filed under the name uncultured organism. RNAcentral describes it as "SSU rRNA". It matches the Rfam family "Bacterial small subunit ribosomal RNA". The record is from RNAcentral.
CGCUAGCUACAGGCUUAACACAUGCAAGUCCUUGGGCAGCAUCAUCAAAGCUUGCUUUGAUGGAUGGCGACCGGCGCACGGGUGAGUAACACGUAUCCAACCUGCCGACAACACUGGGAUAGCCUUUCGAAAGAAAGAUUAAUACCGGAUGGCAUAGUUUUCCCGCAUGGGAUAAUUAUUAAAGAAUUUCGGUUGUCGAUGGGGAUGCGUUCCAUUAGGCAGUUGGCGGGGUAACGGCCCACCAAACCUACGAUGGAUAGGGGUUCUGAGAGGAAGGUCCCCCACAUUGGAACUGAGACACGGUCCAAACUCCUACGGGAGGCAGCAGUGAGGAAUAUUGGUCAAUGGACGAGAGUCUGAACCAGCCAAGUAGCGUGAAGGAUGACUGCCCUAUGGGUUGUAAACUUCUUUUAUACGGGAAUAAAGUGAGCCACGUGUGGCUUUUUGUAUGUACCGUAUGAAUAAGGAUCGGCUAACUCCGUGCCAGCAGCCGCGGUAAUACGGAGGAUUCGAGCGUUAUCCGGAUUUAUUGGGUUUAAAGGGAGCGUAGGCGGGUUGUUAAGUCAGUUGUGAAAGUUUGCGGCUCAACCGUAAAAUUGCAGUUGAUACUGGCGACCUUGAGUGCAACAGAGGUAGGCGGAAUUCGUGGUGUAGCGGUGAAAUGCUUAGAUAUCACGAAGAACUCCGAUUGCGAAGGCAGCUUACUGGAUUGUAACUGACGCUGAUGCUCGAAAGUGUGGGUAUCAAACAGGAUUAGAUACCCUGGUAGUCCACACAGUAAACGAUGAAUACUCGCUGUUGGCGAUAUACAGUCAGCGGCCAAGCGAAAGCAUUAAGUAUUCCACCUGGGGAGUACGCCGGCAACGGUGAAACUCAAAGGAAUUGACGGGGGCCCGCACAAGCGGAGGAACAUGUGGUUUAAUUCGAUGAUACGCGAGGAACCUUACCCGGGCUUAAAUUGCAACUGACGGAACCGGAAACGGUUCUUUCUUCGGACAGUUGUGAAGGUGCUGCAUGGUUGUCGUCAGCUCGUGCCGUGAGGUGUCGGCUUAAGUGCCAUAACGAGCGCAACCCUUACGGGUAGUUACCAUCAGGUUAUGCUGGGGACUCUACCCGGACUGCCGUCGUAAGAUGUGAGGAAGGUGGGGAUGACGUCAAAUCAGCACGGCCCUUACGUCCGGGGCUACACACGUGUUACAAUGGGGGGUACAGAAGGCAGCUACACGGCGACGUGGUGCUAAUCCCAAAAGCCUCUCUCAGUUCGGAUUGGAGUCUGCAACCCGACUCCAUGAAGCUGGAUUCGCUAGUAAUCGCGCAUCAGCCACGGCGCGGUGAAUACGUUCCCGGGCCUUGUACACACCGCCCGUCAAGCCAUGAAAGCCGGGGGUACCUGAAGUACGUAACCGCGAGGAGCGUCCUAGGGUAAAAC